This 301-nucleotide ribosomal RNA is filed under the name uncultured bacterium. RNAcentral's name for it is "partial 16S ribosomal RNA". It matches the Rfam family "Bacterial small subunit ribosomal RNA", at positions 509 to 808 of the family's 1533-position model. The record is from RNAcentral.
CAGUCGCCGCGGGAAUACGUAGGUCCCGAGCGUUGUCCGGAUUUAUUGGGCGUAAAGCGAGCGCAGGCGGUUUGAUAAGUCUGAAGUUAAAGGCUGUGGCUCAACCACAGUUCGCUUUGGAAACUGUCAAACUUGAGUGCAGAAGGGGAGAGUGGAAUUCCAUGUGUAGCGGUGAAAUGCGUAGAUAUAUGGAGGAACACCGGUGGCGAAAGCGGCUCUCUGGUCUGUAACUGACGCUGAGGCUCGAAAGCGUGGGGAGCGAACAGGAUUAGAUACCCGUGUAGUCCCUGUCUCUUAUACA